GAGAUGACUCUUGGCAAUGGAUAUCUCGGCUCUCGCAUCGAUGAAGAACGUAGCGAAAUGCGAUACUUGGUGUGAAUUACAGAAUCCCACGAACCAUCGAGUCUUUGACUGUAAGUUGCGCCCAAAGCCUUAAGGUUGAGGGCACGCCUGCCUAGGCGUCACGC
Molecule: ribosomal RNA, 164 nt
Filed under: Securidaca longipedunculata
Lineage: Eukaryota; Viridiplantae; Streptophyta; Magnoliopsida; Fabales; Polygalaceae
Description: 5.8S ribosomal RNA
Rfam family: 5.8S ribosomal RNA
About the family: 5.8S ribosomal RNA (5.8S rRNA) is a component of the large subunit of the eukaryotic ribosome. It is transcribed by RNA polymerase I as part of the 45S precursor that also contains 18S and 28S rRNA.
Source: RNAcentral